Molecule: long non-coding RNA, 816 nt
Filed under: Malus domestica (apple)
Lineage: Eukaryota; Viridiplantae; Streptophyta; Magnoliopsida; Rosales; Rosaceae
Description: long non-coding RNA (MDOM_LNC010949)
Source: RNAcentral
GAUUUCCUCCUUGUCUACGAUAGCAAUAAGGUUAUUAAAAUGGCUAAAUCAUUGUCGCUUCUCAGCUUUUUAGUCAUUCUUAUUCUUCUCAGCUCAGGUACAUAAUAUUUUUCUGCAAGAACAUUAGACUAAUUUACCAACACUAAUGGUACAUUUGUAUAUUUAGAUAUAUAAUAUCAUGUUAAAACAAAUAUUCUUAUGAUGUUCGAUUGUCCAUUCUGUAGCUACUAGUAUGGAGGCUAUGGGAACUAUGAUAUUCUCAUGCAGAUCAGUGCAAGCAGACCUCCAGUGCACAACUGUAGCGGACCUAGCCUGUGUUGAUAGAUGCCACUCAAAGUUUGGCGCCACCAAUAACGAACCAGUCUGUGAAACUGUCCACUAUUUGCCCAAUGUAUUAACUUGCACAUGUAGAUAUCCUUGCUAGAUGUUCUUGUUCUCUCGUCAUGUGUCUGGAUUAUGAAUAAAAAAUAACUAAAAUAUAUGUCUUUCAUAAUAUAUAAUCAAUAUGGAUCGUCCAUCUCUCUCUCUCUCUCCCAUGGUUUUACUAAUUUUAUUAUCUUUGGGGAUUUUAUUUGUCAAAUUUUUAUUUCCUCACUUUGAUAAGUGAUAUUCGGUUUUGUAUUAAUUAAUUACAAUUUAUGAAAUUCGAACUUUAGACGCAUGAAGGUUAGAGGGAGCACUUCGACUCUAGCUAAUAUGGCUGUAUCCAUAUUUAUGUGCUUUGACAUUUAAAACGAUAUUAAACAAUAUUUAUCAUGGUUCUAAAAGACACUACGCGCUAGUCGAGUGGCGGGCUGGGGCCUAGCGCCUAAGCGG